Molecule: non-coding RNA, 29 nt
Filed under: Rattus norvegicus (Norway rat)
Lineage: Eukaryota; Metazoa; Chordata; Mammalia; Rodentia; Muridae
Source: RNAcentral
UGACUAAGUUUAUACUUUUACACCCUUUC